CAGCGCCGCGGUAAUACGUAGGUGGCAAGCGUUGUCCGGAAUUAUUGGGCGUAAAGGGCUCGCAGGCGGUUUCUUAAGUCUGAUGUGAAAGCCCCCGGCUCAACCGGGGAGGGUCAUUGGAAACUGGGAAACUUGAGUGCAGAAGAGGAGAGUGGAAUUCCACGUGUAGCGGUGAAAUGCGUAGAGAUGUGGAGGAACACCAGUGGCGAAGGCGACUCUCUGGUCUGUAACUGACGCUGAGGAGCGAAAGCGUGGGGAGCGAACAGGAUUAGAUACCCGUGUAGUCCCUGUCUCUUAUACA
This 301-nucleotide ribosomal RNA is filed under the name uncultured bacterium. RNAcentral describes it as "partial 16S ribosomal RNA". It matches the Rfam family "Bacterial small subunit ribosomal RNA", at positions 509 to 808 of the family's 1533-position model. The record is from RNAcentral.